RNAcentral lists this ribosomal RNA (404 nucleotides) under Fusobacteriota bacterium. RNAcentral describes it as "Fusobacteria bacterium partial 16S ribosomal RNA". It matches the Rfam family "Bacterial small subunit ribosomal RNA", at positions 355 to 776 of the family's 1533-position model. Lineage: Bacteria; Fusobacteriati; Fusobacteriota. The record is from RNAcentral.
UGGGGAAUAUUGCACAAUGGUGGGAACUCUUAUGCAGCGACGCUGCGUGAGUGAUGAAGGACUUUGUUUCGUAAAACUCUGUUCUAUGGGAAGAAAAGGACUGUACCAUAGGAGAAAGCUCCGGCUAAAUACGUGCCAGCAGCCGCGGUAAUACGUAUGGAGCGAGCGUUGUCCGGAAUUAUUGGGCGUAAAGGGUGCGCAGGCGGCUUUACAAGUUGGAUGUGAAAUAUUGUGGCUCAACCACAAACGUGCAUCCAAAACUGCAAAGCUUGAGUUAAGGAGAGGUAAGUGGAAUUCCUGGUGUAGCGGUGGAAUGCGUAGAUAUCAGGAGGAAUACCGGUGGCGAAGGCAACUUACUGAACAUAAACUGACGCUCAGGCACGAAAGCGUGGGGAGCAAACAGG